UUCAGAGACAUGCUACAAACAAACACACAAAUCUUGUGGCGUUUUGUAAGUGACUAUUGUUAAUAAAAAUGUGUUUAUUUUGCUAAUAUAGCAAAGAUUUGAAUAAAAAUAUUUACGAGUCUUUUUAUUAUUGCCUGUGUAAUAUUACACCUUUGAAAAGGGCAUGAAUACGAGGCACACUGACGCAUAUAUUUAGUGUGGAAACUUUAAUAAUCCUUUUUGUAGCAUAUGCAACAUUUGUUAUGGUCCCCGAAAAUGGGGAGCAUAAAGUCGCUACCUUGUCCUUUCGUUAUUUCUUCCAUCUGUCCGUCUGCACGUCACACUUCUUGUCCGGAGGAUACCUCAAUAAGUAUUUAAUACAAAGCUGUAACUUAAUACAAGAAUAGAUAGUAUUAAGAGAAAGUGCAGUAACAAGGUGGUUCAAUUUUUGAAUUAUCUCCUUUUUUAUUAAAACCUUGUCCAAGGCAUAUUGAGAACGCUAUUCUUCAUAUUAAACAUAUUGACAGGGCUGCCGUAACACUAGAAAUCAUAAAUAUAGGUUAUCCUGUUUUUUUCUCCAGUUAUCUUCUUUUUCGAAAACCUUAUCUAGAGCAUAACUCGAAUACUAUGUAGGAUCUUGACUUCGUAUUUUACAUAUUCAUAGAGGUCAGUGAGAGGGAUUGCAGUGUUUUAGAUAUACUGUUUGAGGCCAUUUUCAAGAUUCCACAAAUGUUCAUAGUCUUUCUACGCAUAUAACUGAUUAAUUAUUUAUCCACAUAGGUAGAAGACGAAUGAUGUACUAUCUUUUUGUAAACCCACAACGCGCCUCGGCAUCGAACGUGCGUCCUUUCUAAUCAUAGAAUUGCGAUCUACCUACGAAACUAACCUAACAGGCUAGGUGUAUGUCUAAUUUUUAAUUUGUUCCCAAUAGUUUAAAUCUAAUACUUAUAUUAGGGAACAACCAUUUUAAAAUACGAAAAAUGUAUAAACAAUUAACAUAACGCUGAAUAAUGAUAUAUAUAUUUUUUUAAUCCGACUAAGCAACAUAGUUCUGCUUUGAAGAUACUCGUAGUCUAUUUUAGCAAACAGUAAUUUAUAGGAAAGAUGAUUGUUCAGCUGAUUGGUUUGAUGUUAAAUAAAACAUUUUCCAUCUGCAACGGUUAUACAUCUACUUAAUUUGUUUUGGGCUGAGUGCCGUUAAUAAACAGUCUUACAGUUUUUCAGUUCUGUUACGACGGACGUUAACCUCGGGCAUUUCACUUAACCAGUGUUUCACGGUUUCGUUCCAAAAUUAAACAGUUCUUUGUUAGUAGCUACCAACCUCCUUUAAAGAAUCACAGGUUGAGGAGGAAACAUGUCAGAUACAAUGUCUGGUUUAAUCAGUCGUGACGAAGAAUAUACACCCAAGGAUCAAACUCACGACCCCGCAAUCCGUACAUCUGCGUUCUCCCUAUUGAGCUAAGCAGGUUGGCUUUAUAACGUUCGUGCAACAGUGGAGUUACAACUACACACGUUUAUGGAUUCUUUACCAGUAGUAACUUGUUUUCUGCAUGCAAGUGACAUUUUCAUCAAAUGUUUAAAAAAUGUACAUUAUCACCAAUUCUAAUAUACUUGUCUCUGCUAAAACACACUUACGCUAGAAUGACGUCACGUUAACGUGCGGUGACAUCAAAGCUUUUGUUGCGACCAAGAAAUAGCGCUUCUAUAUCUAUAAAGGACAUAUUAGAAUCGAAAUAAUUUAUAGCAAAAGAUUGUUUCAUCACUAUUUAUACACUCGGGCGGUAAUACGUCGUACAAAUAUUUUCACUCGGGCCGCGCCCUCUUGCAAUUAUUACGCCCGACGUAUAACCGCCCAUCGUGCAUAAAUAUUGUUAAAACACUCUUUUGCUAUAUUCAAUUUCUUAAAUACGGGAUAGAAGCAAUUACGUUUGGUAAAGAUCAUGAUUAUGACGUAAUUCAUUAAAUCGAUUAGUGUGAUAAUAUUCAUAAAUGUUUCACAUUCGGUAUGCCAAAAUCUCCGACUGCUCUUCUUGGUUUGUACAUCAUAUACCGAGCCUCGUUAUCGGUAUGCAUCGCCAACUGCCAACCGUUGAAACUAAAACUGUUUUAUUUGAUUAAACACCUAUUUUUACGUAAAGCAUAUUCAAUGGCGUUUUACAAAUACAUAAAAAUACGUCAAAAAUUAAAACAUUUUAAAUGACAUAUGACAUAAAUAAGCAUAAAUAUCAUUGGUAAUAAACUAUUUAGUAAGCAUUAAACAAAAGGCAUCAAAUAAGAUUAAUAAAAUAUUAGAAUAUUAAGAUAGAGUAAGACAGCUGUGUUGUUAUUAAGUAAGAAUAAGUGGGUUAUUGCGACAUGUCCAUAAGUUAUUACAAACAACUGUAUUUUUGUAUUUGUGAUAAAAUAGUUCAUAUUCGAAUGUAUUUACACAAUAAAAUCAUACAGAUCAAGUUACUUCAAUAUCUUAAAAAUCACAGUCACAGUCUCUAAAAGUGUGCAAAGUAAUUUCCAAAAUAAUGAGUUUUCAACUUCUUUUUGAAAGCAUCUAUUUUGUCUGAGUUCUUUAUUUCGAGAGGCAAUUUAUUCCAGAGUUUAGGUCCAAACGUACCUAAACUUCUGUCGCUUAACGUUUUGCGCUUUUGGAAAGGAACAACGAAACACCCAGUAACGGAAUUUGAAGAACGCAAGUUCUUUGUCUGUGUUUGUUUAAUGAGAAGUUCAGAAAGAUAUUCUAGAGAGUUUCCAACUGAACAAUUAUACAUGUAGGUGAGCAUUUUGAAUGUGAUUCUGGCUUUGAUGGGUAGCCAGUGAAGAUCAUAGAGCGUUUGCUCGGAACUGUCAUAUUUUCUUCGAUUUAGGACAGGUUUUGUACACAUGUUCUAAAUUCGUUGCAUUUUGUUUACUUCGCUUUGAGCAAUACCAUACAGAAUGAUAUUACAAUAAUCUAAAUGGGAUAUCAUCAAUGACAGCACAAGGGUUUCGGUAGCCUCUUUGGUAAGAUAUUUCCGGAUAUAUUUUAUUCUGAAGUAGUUGAGCAUUGUUGUUCUAUACUUUCGUUUUAUAUGCUCUUUUAGAUUCAAGUUUUCAUCAAGGUAUGCACCUAGAUAUCGAAUAAAGCUCACUGAUUUCACUUCAUCACCUACAAUGCAUAUUUUGUCAGUUACACACUUAGAGAGCUGUUGCCUACUUCCAAACAUGAUGAACUCGGUUUUGGAAGUGUUCAUUUUGAGCUUAUUUUCAUUCAUCCACUUUUUGAUUGUUUUAGCACAUUGUAGUACUAACCUGAGCCCGUGCAAAUCUUAGAGCCUUCGAGGUUCGAUAUUCUCGCAUUACACGGAUCCAGGUAGUAUAGCGAUGCAUACCUCCACAAUGGGGUCGGUAUAUAUUGCCUUUUGAUGUGUAUAUAGGCUUUGUAGAUGAUCAUUAUGUCAUUUUUAUACCUUACUUGUAGUAAAAACCACAUGCUGUUGUGUCAGAAUUUUCUGGUCUUAAGGAAUGUUAAGUUCAAUGCAUAUUGUUCUUUUUAUCAUUGACAAAUAUAUACACAUUGCUAGAGAGACUAAUCAUAUAAAGUCUUUUAUCAGUGGUUGGGCAAGAUGUACCAGACAGAAGUCGUACACAUGCACCGCUACAAGGUGUUGUCGUGGAUGGAUGGGGUCCGAUUGUGACACUCGUAUGUUUCUUUGUUAUUCAUGAUUUAAACUUCUAAAUCUUUAUUUCCAUGACACGUUUUUCUUCGAAUAAGUAAUGCAUUUAUUUCUAAAAAUGAUAACAUCUAAUAACUCAUCUCAAAGGUCUUUUAAUGCAAAAUAUUUGUGUGUGUGUGUGUGUUCGGGUUUAACGUCUUUUUCAACAAUUUUUCAGUCAUAUUAACGACGGUGUCUACUUAUAGCAGUGAGCACAAUGCCCAACUUUAUAGUGCUGCCUCACUGGAAUAUCACGCCGUAGACAAGUGACAUAAUAUACCAGUCACAUUAUACUGACACAGGACUGACCAGUCCUAGCUCUAUCCCCUUAAUGCUGAGCGCCAAGCGAGGAAGCUACUAGUACAACUUUUACGUCUUUCGUAUGACGAUGCCGGGGAUUGAAGCCACGACCUCCCGCACUCAAAGCGGACGCUCUACCACUAGGCUACCGAGGCGGUAACAGAUGUUAUACGGCAUUAAUGCAGAAACGGGGCCUGGUAUAUUGAGGCUAUGUUCGUUUACAAUCCGCAGUUCUACAUUUUUGCUAAAAUUUGCAUACUUGUGUUGCCUGAAGAUCUAUAGAUCCAAAUUUACUUUACUUCCAGAAGCGUGUUCUUAAGCGAAAAUAUUCUCCAUAGCCUUAUUCUCUAGAAUAUAUUUUCAUGUUGUCUGGACCCUAGAUUUACAUCGAUGCCGAUACAGGCUUAUUGUAGACGUAUUUUCCAUAUUUCUUUAAAAAUCUUUGAAUUACUUUGUGUUGACACAUUAAAAUAAAAACUUGCAAUUUAUAUCCUCACAGCGAUUUGUUCGGCAUCGUGUAACAACGGCGGCACCUGCAUAAGCCCAGACACAUGUAGAUGUCCAUCGUCGCAUUCAGGAGCACAAUGUCAGACAUCACUGUGCUCAUACAAAUUACCCUGUUUCCCCGGCAAAUGCAGCUAUCCUCAUAACUGUGAGUGUUCCGAAGGAUUCAGCGACCCAAGCUCAGGAUGUUUAACGUUUUCAGUGCUCAACAGUUUGCCACAAAUUGCUGAAUGUGAAACAACGUUGGCCAGAUUUAGAAGAUCAGACCAAAAGGAGUUAUUGUAUUACAACACCCCCUGUUCUGGCAGCGCUAGUAAAGACACGUUUUGGUCAAAACAACAGUUGUUUAAUUAUGCAAAUUUUUCAAUGCGGUCGCUUUAUCCAGCUUUAGCAGACAACGUAACAGCACCGAACUAUAUUUCGUCUUUUUCGUUUGGAAUUGUCUAUAGUGCAGUUAGUGUUGUACACACUAAGCACCCAAGG
Mercenaria mercenaria is the source of this 4952-nucleotide long non-coding RNA. RefSeq lists it as uncharacterized. The record is from RefSeq and is a predicted model, not a curated record. Lineage: Eukaryota; Metazoa; Mollusca; Bivalvia; Venerida; Veneridae. The transcript has 4 exons.